GGGGGAGGACAACAUCAGGUAGAGGAUCAAGGGGAGGCAGGGCACCUUCAGGAAGAGGAAGGGGAAGAGACCAAGUUCCAAUUGGUGUUGGGGUGUAUUUUGCACCAGAUGGUUCAGCACACACCAAUCAAGGUGGCAGUUCUAGGCAUGUCAAUGACCAAGCAAGCCAAUCAAGCCAAGUCUCUACACUGCACCAAGCAACUCAAUAGCAACUUCAACAAAAAAAAAAUUUGGUUUCCAGUAGAACUGUUUAUGUAUGUCAUUAGACAGUAGCAAAAUAGUGGUGUUUAUGCAUUUUCAGUUUACGUAUCCACUAAGUCGUAUUUUGGAUUUUGUCAACAUUGUCCCAUAUAACAUUGUCCCGUAUAUUAUGCCUUGUUUUGAAUUGUAUUGAUGAUAAU
Molecule: long non-coding RNA, 401 nt
Organism: Spinacia oleracea (spinach)
Lineage: Eukaryota; Viridiplantae; Streptophyta; Magnoliopsida; Caryophyllales; Amaranthaceae
Exons: 3
Source: RefSeq, a predicted model, not a curated record